GUGCCAGCCGCCGCGGUAAUACGUAGGCAGCAAGCGUUGUUCGGAGUUACUGGGCGUAAAGGGUGCGUAGGCGGCCCUUCAAGUUUGUCGUGAAAUCUCCCGGCUUAACCGGGAGGGUGCGGCGAAGACUGAGGGGCUGGAGUGCGGGAGAGGAGAGUGGAAUUCCUGGUGUAGCGGUGAAAUGCGUAGAUAUCAGGAGGAACACCGGCGGUGUAGACGGCUCUCUGGACCGUAACUGACGCUGAGGCACGAAAGCGUGGGUAGCAAACAGGAUUAGAUACCCUCGUAGUCC
This 292-nucleotide ribosomal RNA is filed under the name uncultured bacterium. Its description in RNAcentral is "partial 16S ribosomal RNA". It matches the Rfam family "Bacterial small subunit ribosomal RNA", at positions 505 to 796 of the family's 1533-position model. The record is from RNAcentral.